GACGAACGCUGGCGGCGUGCUUAACACAUGCAAGUCGAACGGAAAGGCCCUGCUUUUGUGGGGUGCUCGAGUGGCGAACGGGUGAGUAACACGUGAGUAACCUGCCCUUGACUUUGGGAUAACUUCAGGAAACUGGGGCUAAUACCGGAUAGGAGCUCCUGCUGCAUGGUGGGGGUUGGAAAGUUUCGGCGGUUGGGGAUGGACUCGCGGCUUAUCAGCUUGUUGGUGGGGUAGUGGCUUACCAAGGCUUUGACGGGUAGCCGGCCUGAGAGGGUGACCGGCCACCUUGGGCCUGAGAGACGGACCAGACUCCUACGGGAGGCAGCAGUGGGGAAUAUUGCCCAAUGGGCGGAAGCCUGAUGCAGCAACGCCGCGUGCGGGAUGACGGCCUUCGGGUUGUAAACCGCUUUCGCCUGUGACGAAGCGUGAGUGACGGUAAUGGGUAAAGAAGCACCGGCUAACUACGUG
Molecule: ribosomal RNA, 468 nt
Filed under: uncultured bacterium
Lineage: Bacteria
Description: partial 16S ribosomal RNA
Rfam family: Bacterial small subunit ribosomal RNA
Source: RNAcentral